This 574-nucleotide ribosomal RNA is filed under the name uncultured bacterium. RNAcentral describes it as "partial 16S ribosomal RNA". It matches the Rfam family "Bacterial small subunit ribosomal RNA", at positions 355 to 918 of the family's 1533-position model. The record is from RNAcentral.
UGGGGAAUUUUGGACAAUGGGCGAAAGCCUGAUCCAGCAAUGCCGCGUGUGUGAAGAAGGCCUUCGGGUUGUAAAGCACUUUUGUCCGGAAAGAAAAUCCUUGGCUCUAAUACAGUCGGGGGAUGACGGUACCGGAAGAAUAAGCACCGGCUAACUACGUGCCAGCAGCCGCGGUAAUACGCAGGGUGCAAGCGUUAAUCGGAAUUACUGGGCGUAAAGCGUGCGCAGGCGGUUUGCUAAGACCGAUGUGAAAUCCCCGGGCUCAACCUGGGAACUGCAUUGGUGACUGGCAGGCUAGAGUAUGGCAGAGGGGGGUAGAAUUCCACGUGUAGCAGUGAAAUGCGUAGAGAUGUGGAGGAAUACCGAUGGCGAAGGCAGCCCCCAUGGGCCAAUACUGACGCUCAUGCACGAAAAGCGUGGGGAGCAAACAGGAUUAGAUACCCUGGUAGUCCACGCCCUAAAACGAUGUCAACUAGUUGUUGGGGAUUCAUUUCCUUAGUAACGUAGCUAACGCGUGAAGCUGACCGCCUGGGGAGUACGGUCGCAAGAUUAAAACUCAAAUGAAUUGACGGGG